Molecule: long non-coding RNA, 836 nt
Organism: Chenopodium quinoa (quinoa)
Lineage: Eukaryota; Viridiplantae; Streptophyta; Magnoliopsida; Caryophyllales; Amaranthaceae
Exons: 4
Source: RefSeq, a predicted model, not a curated record
UUAGAGUCUUAGUUCUAAAAACACGCUCGCCUAGCCUUUUCGGUUCUAUUCAUCCUCUUUAAUUUGUAGACCAUCUCAUUUUAUCUUCUUCAACAAUUCGUAUGAACAAAUCAAAUUUCGAAAAAAACCCUUGUCGGCCUUACCACCCAUGUCAAAGUCACCAAUUGCAUCAGCGUUGAUCUGAUGUGGAGAUCACCGGAGUUACAAUUUUUCUCGGCUGAUUAAAUCAAUCGAGGUGGUUGUUUUUCGAAGGAUCCUAAUGUAAUAAUAAUCGGCGUUGAUCUGAUAAUCACCAAAGCUACUCCUUCCAUGCAUGAUUUCAAUCAUAAUUGCUAUUUGUAAUUUGAUUAAUUUUGAAUUGGAUUGAAUUCAACAAAAGUACUUUCCAUCGAGGUUCAAGGUGAGGCAGAAUAUCUUCCAUCUCAACAAGGUCAAGGGUCAAAUAAAAUUUCAAAUUUUACAGAAACCAAAAAUCAAUGGGCUUGUGAUGAUCCUUCUCCUCUUGUUAUCUACAACCUUCUGUUAUAGUAGCUUCGAUUAUGGCCUAUUGAGCAGCGGUGUAAAGUACAUGGAAGUGAAAUAUAUAUUGAAGACAAAGACAAAGAGUUGCUCUAUUCUUUGGACGUUACAACCCCUUCCUCUUGUACUGUAAUAGAUACAAACAAUUAGUAGUACUAAUAAUGUACUAAAUUGUGAAUCCAUUUAGGAUCUUAAGGGUAUAGACUAUAGAUACAUGAUGUAGUGAUAUUUCAUUAUAUAAUGUUUAUGGGAUUUAGAUGAGUUUACAUGUGCUAUGUUAUAAAAUUAAAUUACAUCUAUAUUGAUGUUCGGCUUAC